This 253-nucleotide ribosomal RNA is filed under the name uncultured prokaryote. Its description in RNAcentral is "partial 16S ribosomal RNA". It matches the Rfam family "Bacterial small subunit ribosomal RNA", at positions 522 to 774 of the family's 1533-position model. The record is from RNAcentral.
AAUACAGAGGUCUCGAGCGUUGUUCGGAUUCAUUGGGCGUAAAGGGUGCGUAGGUGGCGAGGUAAGUCGGAUGUGAAAUCCCGGGGCUCAACCCCGGAACUGCAUUCGAUACUGCCCUGCUAGAGUACUGGAGAGGAGAUUGGAAUUUACGGUGUAGCAGUGAAAUGCGUAGAUAUCGUAAGGAAGACCAGUGACGAAGGCGGAUCUCUGGACAGUUACUGACACUGAGGCACGAAGGCCAGGGGAGCAAACG